Molecule: ribosomal RNA, 1623 nt
Filed under: Triticum aestivum (bread wheat)
Lineage: Eukaryota; Viridiplantae; Streptophyta; Magnoliopsida; Poales; Poaceae
Description: partial small subunit ribosomal RNA
Source: RNAcentral
AUGAAAGGUUCUAGAGAUAGAAGUUCUUGGACGACGAACACAUCUUCAUCAUCACGGGAGUUGGGACAACACACACAAGCGCAUGGCCAGGUUAUCUCUUUAUCGUCAUUUGAGGGUAGAUUUAAUCUUGCUAUUUAUCUAUCUUGGGAGCUUGAAGUAGAACAAGUUUUUAGUCACCAUGACUUUUCUGAACUUGAGCGAGCACGAGCUGCCACUAGAGCAUUUACUGGUUUUGCUUCUAUUUGGUGGAAUGUGCAUUGUAAAAAAAACAUUGAUAACCAACCCACAACUUGGAAAGAUUUCAAACAUGUAAUGAGACAACAAUUUUUCCCAACAUACUAUCGUCGUGAAUUGCUUCGCAAAUUUGAACAAUUUAAACAAGGCAACAACAUUGUUCAUGCUUACUACCAAGAGUUCAAAUCUUAUAUGCAUCAUUGUGACAUAGAAGAAUCUGAGGAUGAUACAAUGCAUAGAUUUUUUGGUGGUUUGAACCAUGAUAUUCAGGCAAGAUUUCAGUAUAUUCCUCGUUGCAUUACUGGUAUGUAUGUUCGUGCUUGUACCUUUGAGAGACAGUUACAGGAGGAUGCACUGGGUAACUACAACAACUACUAUUCCAAUUCAUGCUCACUACCAUCGGUUGAUUCCUCCACCAUUGCACCUACUAGAGCAGCCACACCUCAAAUUGUGAGUGCGACAUCAUCUCAAGUGUAUGGUACAUUGUCAUUGUCCAUACCUACAUCAACUACGUCUUUGCGACAAGGUAACAGUAAAGGUAUUGAUGAUAUAACUUCACAUGAGAAUGAUGCACCCCUAAUUAACUUAAAUACAUCAUGUGUUGAGUUACCUGUUGAUUUGAGCACACCACCUAUUUUAGAGAAUUAUGUUACUAUCAUGAAUGCAUCAUGUGAUCAAACAAAUGAAAUACCAACAAUUUUGAGUGCGCCCAUUGAAUUAACUGUUGAUGUCAAAGGACCAUGUGAAUCAGGAAAUAAAUCAGAUUUUGAUCAAAUACAUUUUAAAAUAAUUGUGCCAAUGUUUAAUCAUUUUGAUGAACAUUGUCAAUCUUUUGAAAUGAAUAAGAGCUUCACUUAUAUGUGCAAACUGAGUUGCAAUAUUUUCAUGCCUUCUACUUCUUGUGAUAAUGUUAUGGCUUUAGAUUUUAUGAACUAUGCAAGCUACUCAUCUAUUCAUGUGUCAUAUGUGCAAAAAGCAAGGGAAGUAAAAAUGGAUGACAUAUACAUAUACAACAUGUACACCUUGUCUCUUUUGUUAGCCACAUUUCAGAUUAAGCAACGCCGAGGACGGCUUUGUUUUCAAGAAGAUGAUGAGGACAUGACUACCUUGGAUACGACCAAAAAUAUUGCAUACAUGUAUAUUUGUGAGGUGAUUUCUAAUGCAAAUUAUGCAAUAAUUUAUUUAUGUCAUCCAGGACAAAAAUACUUCACAAACUUUUGUGCCAUAUCUAAUUGUAGGUGUAUGGGACAUUUGUACAAUCCACAUAUGAAGAUAAGGGAGAAAGAGAUGUUUACUUGCUGUUCAAAAAGUUCUCUCACGUCACUUUUGGCCCAAGAGAAGAUAGAGUCCAAGUCUCUCACAAUGUGGACUCAGAUUCGGACUGCAUAG